RNAcentral lists this ribosomal RNA (370 nucleotides) under uncultured bacterium. RNAcentral's name for it is "bacterial SSU rRNA". It matches the Rfam family "Bacterial small subunit ribosomal RNA", at positions 29 to 426 of the family's 1533-position model. The record is from RNAcentral.
AGCGAACGCUGGCGGCAGGCUUAACACAUGCAAGUCGAACGGGCGUAGCAAUACGUCAGUGGCAGACGGGUGAGUAACGCGUGGGAACGUACCUUUUGGCUCGGAACAACCCAGGGAAACUUGGGCUAAUACCGGAUAAGCCCUUACGGGGAAAGAUUUAUCGCCAAAGAUCGGCCCGCGUCUGAUUAGCUAGUUGGUGAGGUAACGGCUCACCAAGGCGACGAUCAGUAGCUGGUCUGAGAGGAUGGCCAGCCACAUUGGGACUGAGACACGGCCCAAACUCCUACGGAGGCAGCAGUGGGGAAUCUUGCGCAAUGGGCGAAAGCCUGACGCAGCCAUGCCGCGUGGAUGAUGAAGGUCUUAGGAUUGU